This 420-nucleotide ribosomal RNA is filed under the name uncultured crenarchaeote. RNAcentral's name for it is "bacterial SSU rRNA". It matches the Rfam family "Archaeal small subunit ribosomal RNA", at positions 459 to 879 of the family's 1478-position model. Lineage: Archaea; Thermoproteati; Thermoproteota. The record is from RNAcentral.
CAGCCGCCGCGGUAAUACCAGCUCCGCGAGUGGUCGGGACGAUUAUUGGGCCUAAAGCGUUCGUAGCCGGUCAAGUAAGUCUUUCGUUAAAUCUGACGGCUUAAUCGUCAGACCGCGGAAGAUACUGCUAGACUUGAGGGCGGGAGAGGUUGACGGUAUUCCUGGGGUAGGGGUGAAAUCCUAUAAUCCUAGGAGGACCACCAGUGGCGAAGGCGGUCAACCAGAACGCGCCUGACGGUGAUGGACGAAAGCUGGGGGAGCGAACCGGAUUAGACACCCGGGUAGUCCCAGCUGUAAACGUUGCAGGCUAGGUGUUGGGGCAACUACGAGUUGCUUCAGUGCCGCAGAGAAGUUGUUAAGCCUGCCGCUUGGGAAGUACGGCCGCAAGGCUGAAACUUAAAGGAAUUGGCGGGGGAGCAC